This 429-nucleotide ribosomal RNA is filed under the name Fusobacteriota bacterium. RNAcentral's name for it is "Fusobacteria bacterium partial 16S ribosomal RNA". It matches the Rfam family "Bacterial small subunit ribosomal RNA", at positions 355 to 776 of the family's 1533-position model. Lineage: Bacteria; Fusobacteriati; Fusobacteriota. The record is from RNAcentral.
UGGGGAAUCUUCCGCAAUGGACGAAAGUCUGACGGAGCAACGCCGCGUGAGUGAAGACGGCCUUCGGGUUGUAAAGCUCUUUGAUCCGGGACGAAAGAGCCUGAGGUAAAUAGCCUAAGGAAGUGACGGUACCGGAAAAGCAAGCCACGGCUAACUACGUGCCAGCAGCCGCGGUAAUACGUAGGUGGCAAGCGUUGUCCGGAAUUAUUGGGCGUAAAGCGCGCGCAGGCGGCUUACUAAGUCCAUCUUAAAAGUGCGGGGCUUAACCCCGUGAUGGGAUGGAAACUGGAAAGCUGGAGUAUCGGAGAGGAAAGUGGAAUUCCUAGUGUAGCGGUGAAAUGCGUAGAGAUUAGGAAGAACACCGGUGGCGAAGGCGACUUUCUGGACGAAAACUGACGCUGAGGCGCGAAAGCGUGGGGAGCAAACAGG